Molecule: ribosomal RNA, 419 nt
Filed under: Validiblatta brunnea (brown cockroach)
Lineage: Eukaryota; Metazoa; Arthropoda; Insecta; Blattodea; Blattidae
Description: Periplaneta brunnea (brown cockroach) partial 16S ribosomal RNA
Source: RNAcentral
UUACGCUGUUAUCCCUAAGGUAAUUUAAUCUUAUAAUCAACAAAAAUGGAUCAACCUUUCAUAAAUCAAUGUAUAAAAUAAAAAAGAGUUAAUUAAUUCUUCCUAUCACCCCAACAAAACAUAUUAAAUAAUAAUAUAAUAAUCAAACAAAAUAAAUAAAUAAAUAUAUGUAUAAACUCUAUAGGGUCUUCUCGUCCCAUAAAUAAAUUUAAGCCUUUUAACUCAAAAAUUAAAUUCAAAUAAAAUAAUAAGAAACAGUAUAUUCCUCGUCCAACCAUUCAUUCCAGUCCACAAUUAAAGGACUAAUGAUUAUGCUACCUUUGCACGGUCAAAAUACCGCGGCCCUUUAAUAAUUAAUCAGUGGGCAGGUCAUACUUCAUAUUUUUAUAUCAGAAAGAGAUGUUUUUGUUAAACAGGCG